Molecule: long non-coding RNA, 484 nt
Filed under: Zostera marina
Lineage: Eukaryota; Viridiplantae; Streptophyta; Magnoliopsida; Alismatales; Zosteraceae
Description: long non-coding RNA (ZMAR_LNC002348)
Source: RNAcentral
GCACAGGCGCUUCAUUCUCUUCAACUCGUCUUCCAUAGACUGAGAGUCACGAAGACGAGACAGGGAAGAGAUGCGGCCCUGGAACAAAUGGUUGAGCUGCAAAAAGAAAAGAAUGGAUAAGGACACGCUCAUAAAAAUAACUAAGAAAUAAAGAACACUCACGUUGCUCAAGUUCUGUCCAAUCUCUUCGACAAUCCGGUCCAUCGGAUACCCAAAGAUAGCCCGCAGUGUGGUUCGGGUGGCAUCCGUGUCAGGGGUCAGGGGAAAUUUGGACCCAUAGUUCCGGGGAUGCGAACCUUGAUACCCCGGCAGUUGCGUCUCCCGGGUGGAAGAAUAGUUGAAGCGGCCCCGGGAGGACUCUCCAGGAUAAUAAGCCUUCUUACGAAGAGGACUUCGUCGCCUGGGGGAGGGUCUCCUCUUCCUCGGAGGAGAUGAGUCGGUCCUAGGGGGAGGAGUUCGUUCUUUUCUUCUUCUCCUCUCAGAG